RNAcentral lists this ribosomal RNA (484 nucleotides) under uncultured bacterium. RNAcentral describes it as "partial 16S ribosomal RNA". It matches the Rfam family "Bacterial small subunit ribosomal RNA", at positions 29 to 507 of the family's 1533-position model. The record is from RNAcentral.
AUUGAACGCUGGCGGAAUGCUUUACACAUGCAAGUCGAGCGGCAGCGCGGCCUUCGGGCUGGCGGCGAGCGGCGAGCGGGUGAGUAAUGCAUCGGAACAUGCCCAGUCGUGGGGGAUAACACUUCGAAAGAAGUGCUAAUACCGCAUACGUCCUGAGGGGGAAAGCGGGGGAUCGCAAGACCUCGCGCGAUUGGAGUGGCCGAUGUCAGAUUAGCUAGUUGGUGGGGUAAAGGCCUACCAAGGCGACGAUCUGUAGCUGGUCUGAGAGGAUGAUCAGCCACACUGGGACUGAGACACGGCCCAGACUCCUACGGGAGGCAGCAGUGGGGAAUUUUGGACAAUGGGGGCAACCCUGAUCCAGCCAUUCCGCGUGAGUGAAGAAGGCCUUCGGGUUGUAAAGCUCUUUCGGCAGGAACGAAACGGUGGGCUCUAACAUAGUCCGCUAAUGACGGUACCUGAAGAAGAAGCACCGGCUGACUACGUG